Molecule: ribosomal RNA, 309 nt
Filed under: uncultured soil bacterium
Lineage: Bacteria
Description: bacterial SSU rRNA
Rfam family: Bacterial small subunit ribosomal RNA
Source: RNAcentral
AGAUUGAACGCUGGCGGCAUGCUUUACACAUGCAAGUCGAACGGCAGCACGGGGGCAACCCUGGUGGCGAGUGGCGAACGGGUGAGUAAUGCAUCGGAACGUAUCCUUAAGUGGGGGAUAACGCAUCGAAAGAUGCGCUAAUACCGCAUAAUCUCUGAGGAGAAAAGCAGGGGAUCGCAAGACCUUGCGCUUUUGGAGCGGCCGAUGUCUGAUUAGCUUGUUGGUGAGGUAAUGGCUCACCAAGGCUACGAUCAGUAGCUGGUCUGAGAGGAUGAUCAGCCACAUUGGGACUGAGACACGGCCCAAACU